Physcomitrium patens is the source of this 3808-nucleotide RNA transcript. RefSeq lists it as uncharacterized. NCBI's taxonomy places the organism in Eukaryota, Viridiplantae, Streptophyta, Bryopsida, Funariales, Funariaceae. The record is from RefSeq and is a predicted model, not a curated record.
CUACCUAGACUGGAAGCCAGAAGCCGCGGUUGCUCUCAACCAAUCCUGUAAAGAACUAUCUGCCCUGCAUUUUCAGACUAGGACUUCAUUGGUGAACACACCAACAACCCAAGCAAUCAUCAGUUGCCGCAUCAUCAGCGUCGGCAGAUGUAGUGGCUUGCAGAGAGUAGGGGGGCGAUUGGUUCUGAAUUGGCCUGGUUGAGAUUAAGAGUGAUCGAGCGAUCGGGAAGCGAGAUGGCGACUUGAAUUUGUUGUCUUGGAUUGAUGAAAUUGAUUCUGCAGUUCGUAUCAGAGAAAUUUUCCUUGUAGGAACUAAUAACGAGUGAGUGAGGAGAUGGGGCGGUUCUACAUUCUGUGCAGGAAAUGAUAGUUUGAAGAAUGUUUGAAUAUUUUUUCCCGCAGGAGUACCAGGAGGGGAUUACUUGAGUCAGCAUGGAGUAGGGUCUCGUGUUUUGGCAUUUAUGGUCUACCGUUAAUGUCUUUGUUCACGAGUUUCUGGGUGUUUCAUCAGCAGUGAUUCUGCCCUAAGAGCACUGAUGUUAAUCUAAGAAAAGGGAAUUGACGGCUGGAACAUCAGCCAUGGCAACUGGGAAUGCGUUAUCAGCCAGGCUGCUCUGUAUGUCGGAACGCAGCAGCGGCAGCAGCAGGCCUCCUUGCAGACAAGUCUCGUCUCUGGGCUGUAAUCGUUACGCCGUUCGGCUCCCUAUUGUAUCCUCUGAUUCCACCAUCUCAACGAUUCUUGGAAUGCAUCACAAUUGUGACAUCACAGCAGUCAGGCGGGUGGCCAACACAAAUGAACAGUCUGAUGAUUUCAUCGCUGUACCAAAAAUCCGUGCAUGGCGAGGGAAUGCAAAUGGAUUUGCAAAGGGGAGAAGGGUAGUGUCUAUGGCUAUGGUUUCGUGGGCACCAGAGUCAUCGUCACACAAUGAGAUGCAGUAUGAAGACUUUCGUUCGGAGAUAUUAGAACAAGUUGGCGAGGUAGGGGCUGAAUCCAACAAAACUCGAUUACCCUGGUCGCAAUUCCAGCCGCAACAGUUAUCACUUUUCAACGGAGGGAGAUUGAGAAGCGGUGCCCGAAGAAUCGUCGAUCACCUGAUUCAAUCAACUCAGCCUGUAGUGCAUUCUUUGGACCUCCAUCGUAGUCAGAAGGUACUUAGCAAGGGCUUUAGGAAUGCCGAUCAAGCAACGGGACAUGUAAGCACUGCGAAUGCAGUUAACAUGAAUGCUGACACAAGCAAUUCCGAAAAGAAUGUGGAGUGCCAUGUCGAGGCUGUGUCUUGGCGGGAGCGUCAUAUCAGUGCAAGUAUCAGAGUAGAAGCUUCCCAGGAACAGGUUUGGGAGGUUUUGACUGACUAUGGGAGACUGGCGGAGUUCAUACCUAAUCUUACUCGCAGUGAGCAAAUCCCCUGUCCUCAUCCCGGGCGAACGUGGCUUCUUCAAGAAGGCAAACAGAGCGCCAUGUAUUGGCAAAUUGAAGCUCGGGUCGUUCUUGAUCUGGAGGAAUUUCUUGAUGCGAAGGAUGGUAGAGAACUACGAUUUUCUAUGGUAGAUGGUGAUUUCAAGCGCUAUGUAGGACGGUGGUAUCUUCGUCCUGAUGUUCGUCCAGGUACAAUUAUAUUACAUUAUGAAGUGAACGUGACACCUAGACUGCUGUUCCCGGCGGCCUUUGUUGAGAAGAUUAUCAAGUCCGACCUCCCCACCAAUUUACGGGCUAUAGCUGCGCGAGCAGAAGACUGCUCGAAUGUUUCACGAGUGGCAGCUGUGCAGACAAAGGAUGUUGUCUCUCCACGCUUGUUUCAGAAAAUUGAAAGAAGCAGUACAAAGACAAGAGAGUAUAGCACGGCUGGGUCUGCUGUUAAAACCGCCCUGAAACCCGUUCUAGCGGAGCCAAUGAAUUUGAGUGGAGGGUCGUCUGCUCCUGUGGAAUGGAAUGAGAGGUCGAGGCUGAUUAGUAAAGACUCCUCGUGGGGAGCUAUUGGAUCAACUUGUAAAGUUGGAAAGCCAUGUGCUGUAGAUGAAGUCCACUUGAGGCGUUUCGAUGACUUGUUGGAGAAUGGAGGAGUACACAGGCGGGUAGUAGCAGCUAUCACAGUCGAGGCGCCAGCUCAUAGCGUGUGGGCUGUUCUUACUGCGUACGAGAGUCUUCAAGAGUUCAUACCCAACCUAGCAAUUUGCAAGGUAUUGACUCGGGAGAAAAACAAAGUUCGUUUGCUACAGGAGGGCUGCAAGUGUCUUUUGUAUAUGGUUUUACAUGCUCGAGUUAUAUUAGAUCUCUGGGAAAGACCUCAGUAUGAGAUUUUGUUUCAACAAGUCGAAGGGGAUUUUGACAGUUUCCAAGGGAAAUGGACCCUAGAGCCUUUGGGAGCACAGCAUACUUUGCUCAAGUAUCUAGUUGACACCAAGAUGCACAAAGAUUCUUUGCUUGCUGAGGCUCUUGUUGAGGAGGUCAUAUAUGAAGAUUUACCCGCAAAUUUAUGUGCUAUUCGAGAUCGGGUUGAACUUCUUGGGUCCAAUAGUUUACUGGACAGUAGAAAUGAAGUUGUUGAGAAGCUUGAAAACAUCAAGAAGCAAGAAUUUCUUGUCCCGAAAGAAUCUUUCGUAAUUCCAGAUUCACUUAAAGACGUUGGUAAGGACGAUGACAAGCAUGUGGUCAAAAGUGAUCUCAAACCUUCUCCACGGAUCCGACAAAGGCCUCUGGUCGCUGGCCUCCAGCGUGAUUUUAACAUUCUUCAACAAGAGCUUUUAAAAUUUAUUGCUGAAAAGGGCACCAAGGGUGUGAUGCCUUUGAGAUGUGAGUUGAGGGAAGCUGGGCGAGUGGACUUGGAGAAGGCCAUAACUCGUAAUGGAGGCUUUGGUCCUGUAGCUUCCAAAUUGAACCUCUCAUUGGCAUAUAAGGAGCGGAAGCCUAGAGGCUACUGGGACAAUUUGCAGAAUGUCCACAAAGAGAUUCUACUGUUCCAAAAAGAACAUGGAAAUGAUAGGACGACCAUGCCAACCCGACAGUCAUUAGAAAGAGCAGGACGGUAUGACCUGGCACGGUCAUUGGAAAAAUGGGGAGGGCUUCGAGAGGUUGCACGGGUAUUAGGACUCCAAGUGAAAAAGCGGCAAAAAUCUCGUACUGCAAAGACCGAUGUUGUGCCUGCCCUAGCGCCGAAGGAUUCCGACGAAAGUGAGACUGAUAUUAAAGUACCUCUAAAGACUAUGCUUCCAUUAAAAUCAAGAAAAUGGGUCACUAUGCGCCGCUAUAGUACGGAUUUCACUGAUUAGUGAGGCUUCCGAAAAACUCCCGGAGAAUUCUUCAUCGCUUCCUUGUGCAAAAUCACUUGGAGCUCAAUCGCGAGUCUCGAAUUUGUUGGAAGAGGAGACGAAUUUGUGGACUUGAAAAAUGGAAACAUAAACGUAAUUAUAGCAUAAAUGACUACAUUCAUAGUGUUCUAUCCUAUCUGAAAUUAGCAUCUAUUUGACUGAUUUAUUCACAGCGUGGGUGGAUGUGAAGAUAGGUAUGAAUAUGAAACCCUUCAAAAAUGCCUAUUGGUACUCUUCUAAUUGGAAUCACGACUGGGACUUACUAGCGAUUACUUUAUCUUUAGUGGUGAACUAAUGAUGUAGAAUAUUUAGAAACCACAUGGUAACAUAUUCAUGCUUAUCACAGCUACAUCGCUGCGUCCACCUGAUUUCAAUUCUCACCCUUGUUGGCUUUCCGGAACCGCUUCCGAAAAGCCAACAACAAUAUUGACACGGUUCCAGAAAAAUCUGGUGGAGCUUUGGACUAACUUGUUACUUAAAAAUUUGCGCUAGGCUUGCAUCA